Molecule: ribosomal RNA, 393 nt
Filed under: uncultured bacterium
Lineage: Bacteria
Description: partial 16S ribosomal RNA
Rfam family: Bacterial small subunit ribosomal RNA
Source: RNAcentral
AUACGGAGGAUGCGAGCGUUAUCCUGAUUUAUUGGGUUUAAAGGGUGCGUAGGCUGUGCGUUAAGUCAGGGGUGAAAUGCCGUCGCUCAACGACGGAGCUGCCCUUGAUACUGGCGUGCUGGAGUACGGAUGCCGUUGGAGGAAUGAGUGGUGUAGCGGUGAAAUGCUUAGAUAUCACUCAGAACACCGAUUGCGAAGGCAUCUGACGAAUCCGUCACUGACGCUGAGGCACGAAAGCGUGGGGAUAGAACAGGAUUAGAUACCCUGGUAUUCCACGCCGUAAACGAUGAUGACUAACCGUCGGCGAUAGACAGCCGGUGGCCAAGCGAAAGCGAUAAGUCAUCCACCUGGGGAGUACGUCGGCAACGAUGAAACUUAAAGGAAUUGACGGGG